GGGGCGCAGCCGACCACGGUUGGGGUCAGCGACUGGGGUGAAGUCGGUAACAAGGUAGCCCUAAGGGAACCUGCGGCUGGAUCACCCUCCUUU
This 93-nucleotide ribosomal RNA is filed under the name Acetobacter sp. YYL. RNAcentral describes it as "partial 16S rRNA". The record is from RNAcentral. Lineage: Bacteria; Pseudomonadati; Pseudomonadota; Alphaproteobacteria; Acetobacterales; Acetobacteraceae.